This 413-nucleotide ribosomal RNA is filed under the name Modisimus makandal. RNAcentral's name for it is "partial 16S ribosomal RNA". Lineage: Eukaryota; Metazoa; Arthropoda; Arachnida; Araneae; Pholcidae. The record is from RNAcentral.
AUUUUUUUAAGAAAUAAUUUAAAAUAAAUCCUGCUCAAUGUUAACUUAUAAAUAGCUGCAAAAUUUUUGUACUAAGGUAGCAUAAUCAUUAGUUCUUUAAUUAAGAAAUAGAAUGAAAGGAUAAACGAAAUAUAAAUUUUAUCUAAAAUUUAAAUAAAUUUAAAUUAAAAGUUAAAAUUCUUUUUUACAUAAGAAAGACAAUAAGACCCUAAUAAACUUAUAUAUUUAGCUGGGGCGGCUAAUAAAAACUACCUUAAACUUAUUAUAUAAAUAACUAAUAUAAAAUUAAUUUAUAGUUACUAUAGGGAUAACAGCGCAAUUUUAAUUUUAAGUUCUUAUUUAAAUUAAAUUUUACGACCUCGAUGUUGAAUUAAUUUUACUUAUUAAAGCAAUAUUUAAUAAAGAUAGUCUGU